RNAcentral lists this ribosomal RNA (484 nucleotides) under uncultured bacterium. Its description in RNAcentral is "partial 16S ribosomal RNA". It matches the Rfam family "Bacterial small subunit ribosomal RNA", at positions 30 to 507 of the family's 1533-position model. The record is from RNAcentral.
AGUGAACGCUGGCGGCAGGCCUAACACAUGCAAGUCGAGCGGCAGCGGGUCCUUCGGGAUGCCGGCGAGCGGAGGACGGGAGAGGAAUGCAUCGGAAUCUGCCCUGUCGUGGGGGAUAACGUAGGGAAACUUAGGCUAAUACCGCAUACGACCCACGGGUGAAAGCGGGGGAUCGCAAGACCUCGCGCGAUAGGAUUAGCCGAUGUCCGAUUAGCUAGUUGGCGGGGUAAAGGCCCACCAAGGCGACGAUCGGUAGCUGGUCUGAGAGGAUGAUCAGCCACACUGGGACUGAGACACGGCCCAGACUCCUACGGGAGGCAGCAGUGGGGAAUAUUGGACAAUGGGCGCAAGCCUGAUCCAGCCAUGCCGCGUGGGUGAAGAAGGCCUUCGGGUUGUAAAGCCCUUUUGUCCGGGAAGAAAUCGUCUGGGCUAAUACCCCGGGCGGAUGACGGUACCGGAAGAAUAAGCACCGGCUAACUUCGUG